This is a long non-coding RNA of Puntigrus tetrazona (Sumatra barb), 1682 nucleotides long. RefSeq lists it as uncharacterized. NCBI's taxonomy places the organism in Eukaryota, Metazoa, Chordata, Actinopteri, Cypriniformes, Cyprinidae. The record is from RefSeq and is a predicted model, not a curated record. The transcript has 5 exons.
UGUCGCGCGGUGACGUCAAGCCCCGAUCUGACUCCAUGCAAAGCGCCCCGCGAUGCGCGUGCAGCGGAGCACAUGGAGGAGAGCGGACGCGCGCUUAGCAGCCUGGCUAAUGUAGCAUGCGGGGCGCAAAAUAUUGGCGAAUGAAGAACAUUUCAGGUCUGGAAAGUGGACUGACUUGCCCAAGGCGUCCUACAUGGAUGAGAGAAAAAUAUUGAGGAUGUGAGCAGUCCUUUCACCUUUAAGAGUUAUCUUCAAAAUGGAGUUUGUUCUUUUUUCAACGUUUCAGUUUCAGAAUCCAUUUGUAGUAUGGGUCACCCUGCCAGUGAGGAAUACGGUGAAGAGGCCAUCCUGUGAGAUAAGAGCACUAUACCGGACAGCAUGACCUUCAGAGGACUGGACUGGACUGAACUUGAACUGUGUUUAGACAGCAUAAGUAGAGAACAACCUCCCGCUGAAGCCAUCAACCUCAUUUAAACCGUAGCUCUGAUGUCACCAGAGAUGUUAAAUAGGGCAGCAGGCCAGGCACACGUGUACCUACUCUGAAGAAGGCCAGUUCAGUGGAAACUAGUAAGCAAACACUCUGAAAAGGACACACGCUCCCUCAAUGUCAGCAAACAUUUGGUCACAACUUCAAAGGGAAGUGACAGUCGUUUGAAACUGGGGAUGACGUUGGGUGCCGUUGGAGCAGCACGAGAGGUCCCACCACGCUCCACUGCCGGCUUUUACACUCCUCAGUCCUCUCUCACCACACAUCUUCCUGUGGAGAUUGGUUGGCUUUGUUUCCUCUAAGAUGAAUGUCUCUCUGAACCUCUUGUGGCAUUUGAGUGAACUGCAGUUAUAUUAGAGGUUCUAGCUCUGGUGAUUCAUCGAAUAGAAACUCCAGAGGAAUUUGCUGCAUCACAGAACAAAUCUUCUCCGAUUUUCAUGUGUACACGACGUUCCUUUGACAUGACCAUGAGAAGAUGAAUGAUGUCUCUUGAGAAAGAUCUGUUUACUGGUUCUCAAUUAUUCUGUCUUUCUGCCCAUCCAUCAUCUUAUCACUUUCACAGUCUCUCCACCACUUUCUUUUUCAUACAGCGGUUUGUAUGAAUAAUAUAUGCCACAUUGCUUCGCUGUCAUUAAAGGUGACCUUGGUUAAUUAUUGAUUGGGUCAGAUGAUUACAGGCCUGACCUCUGUAUGUUCUCGUCUGCCUCUCGGCUCAGUUUUCAUGUUGACACUCCUCUUAGUAUUCCUGGAGACCCUAAUAUGAUGAAUUAUUGCUUAUUAUUAUUGCUGGGGGAGUGUUGGCGCCUUUACAGAGACAUGAAAUGUAAAAUUACAAAAGUAACCAUGAAUGUCAAGACUAUUACUCCGUUUUAAUGAAAUAUGUAAGAGGUAAUGUAUAGUCAGUUGGUCAUUAUCACUAAAUGAACCCCGACAGGGUGAUCAGAUUAAGCCCCUGAAGGGGUUUAUUUUGUUACAGUGACCGGCUGACUCUAAAAUGUCCCUCGUAUUACCUUGCUGCUUGUCAAAUGAAUUAUAAAUGGACUUGAAAAAUGUUGUAUUUGUAUUGUGUUUUUAUGUGAGACCGUGUGAUUUAAGGAGUAUCAAGAAAUACCGUAUUAGCAGCUGUUAUUUAAACACAUUUGACCACCGAAUAUCACAACUGACCAACCAGAAUAAAGCAGAGCAUGAUAAAAUA